AGAGAUGUUCUGGAAUUCCUUCUCAUCUACAGCAAGUUUGAACUGGGAGAUAAUAAUUCUAAAUGGGAGAGUGCAGUGCUUAGUGUAGUGACAAGUUAUUUUAAUGCACACUUCAAGGUUGCUGCAUACUUAUCGUGACUUAAUUCAGCAUAAAAUACAGACCAAGAAGUCCAAUGAACUAAUAGCAGGUAGCAGUGUAAACUUCAGGUGGCUACUGAAACCCUAAGUAAAUCAACAAGUCAAAGUGAAUGUGGAAGGCAGACUUAGAGAGAGAAGGUUGAGCCUGCUUAACAUCCUUGCCUAGCCAUCUCAACUUGGGCAUGACCUCAGGAAGACGAAGGUCAAGUGCUUCAGCAACGUUUAUCAUUUGCCAUGCCUGAGAUGUCUCCUUAUGAGAACGUCAGCACAUUGAUCUUAGGCUACAGGAAGGAACUGGAAAGACAUUCAGACAAAAGUGCUGGCUGCACAUUUGGGCAAAGUGCUGACAUGCUUUUGUUGUGAUGAACGUGGUGCUAUCCCUGAGCCUGGUGAUGAUGACCUAGAAGGAGAUGGAGCAGACCAUAAUCUGUGAUUCAUGAAGAAGUGGACUGUUGGAAUACCUGAAACUGAGUCUGCUUGUGAAUGGUUAUGGUUAUGUUAUGGUUUCUGGAAAGCUAAAAUGGGGCAAAG
This 669-nucleotide long non-coding RNA is filed under the name Coturnix japonica (Japanese quail). RNAcentral describes it as "lncRNA (ENSCJPG00005019420.1)". The record is from RNAcentral. Lineage: Eukaryota; Metazoa; Chordata; Aves; Galliformes; Phasianidae.